AUUGAACGCUGGCGGCAGGCCUAACACAUGCAAGUCGAGCGGAUGAAGGGAGCUUGCUCCUGGAUCCAGCGGCGGACGGGUGAGUAAUGCCUAGGAAUCUGCCUGGUAGUGGGGGAUAACGUCCGGAAACGGGCGCUAAUACCGCAUACGUCCUGCGGGAGAAAGUGGGGGAUUUUCGGACCUCACGCUAUCAGAUGAGCCUAGGUCGGAUUAGCUAGUUGGUGGGGUAAAGGCCUACCAAGGCGAGGAUCCGUAACUGGUCUGAGAGGAUGAUCAGUCACACUGGAACUGGGACACGGUCCAGACUCCUACGGGAGGCAGCAGUGGGGAAUAUUGGGCAAUGGGCGAAAGCCUGAUCCAGCCAGGCCGCGUGUGUGAAGAAGGUCUUCGGAUUGUAAAGCACUUUAAGUUGGGAGGAAGGGCAGUAAGUUAAUACCUUGCUGUUUUGACGUUACCAACAGAAUAAGCACCGGCUAACUUCGUG
Molecule: ribosomal RNA, 484 nt
Filed under: uncultured bacterium
Lineage: Bacteria
Description: partial 16S ribosomal RNA
Rfam family: Bacterial small subunit ribosomal RNA
Source: RNAcentral